AGCAGGGCUUCGAGACAUAAUGUUCCAUGAUUUCUAUACAGAGAUCUUAUGGAAUGGAUUGAUUUAGAUAUUUACCUGAUCUCCAUGUUACUACUGUAAAUGUCAAGGGCCUUUUAGUUUUGGUUGUUUUCGGAAACCUUUUGUUAUUAUUAUGAUCAAGCGUUUGUUGUGACAUUGGAUUUGGGCUUGCAUAAGAGUUACAGGCGUAGGACUUUUAAGGGUCGUGUCCUUAUUCUCAACAUAACGCUGGGAUUUGAUGAUAAGGGUUAGUUACCAUGGGUAUAAAUCUGGCAAAGUGCAUGUCAUACAAAACGUGGCAUUCAAUUCCAAUCAUGUGUUGACACCUGAACCACCUGAAAGUGAGAUAUGGAUUACAAUGAAUAAUGGCAGCUUAUCAAUCUUUAACAAAUUCACACUGAAACUUUGAAAGGAUUAAGACAAGUUAGUUAUUUUCUGUUUCAGCAUGUUCAGGGUUUGUGGGGAGGUUCACAGACAUCCUCAGGGAGGAUACGAAGUAAUGAAAUAUCCGGAUGAAUAAAAGAGACAGUCAUAUGUGCAGCAUCAAUGCAAAGAAAGACCAUAGAAGAGAAGCAAUGAGGAACAAGAGAAGAGCAACAAAACUAAAGUCCUGCUUGAGAUCCCUGGAUGAGUACUCCUGGUGAACAAUCUGGAAGAACCAGAGAAGGGAGUCCUUAACAGAGCGUGCACCCCUUCAGAUAUCAGGGGUGAUUUGCAGACAGCGAUGACGAGGGUCCUGUUAUUUCAAUGGAGGCCUACCGAGAAGUUGUAUGCCAAAUGGUACUGGGACACACAAAGGCUGGUCUGGUUAAUGUGAGAAGACCAACCAAUGCCAAGCUGGAGUGGGAUCCUUCGAGGACAUUCAAGAAAUUCUUGUCUUGAGCCAUGUGGUAAACACUUGAAAGGAAUGAUAAAUUGGACUUAUUGUCUUUCAAUGUGGACACAAACACCAAAUGGAAAGUUCACAAUUCUACUAACACUAUGCAGCAGAGAUAGUCCAACUGGCACACCCUCAUCCUGGUUCCUGUUCAUCCAUGGCAAUAAAGAAAGAAAAGGAGGAUUGAGGGAAAGUAAGUUCUCUGAACUGGUGAACAUAAUCCGUGGGUACUGUCACACAAACAGUUAUCACACUCCGUUAUGAGUAUUGAAGAAUAGGAUGAAAUUGCAUACUGCAUCAGGAACCAUCAUGUGCGAUAUACUAUAGGCAUAUGAAUAAAUGAAAUUGAUAAUUUGA
Long non-coding RNA from Haliotis rufescens (red abalone), 1252 nucleotides. RefSeq lists it as uncharacterized. The record is from RefSeq and is a predicted model, not a curated record. NCBI's taxonomy places the organism in Eukaryota, Metazoa, Mollusca, Gastropoda, Lepetellida, Haliotidae. The transcript is spliced from 3 exons.